GAAAGCGUGCUUACUGACUUCUGAUAGAAUGAACUCAUUCUGGUAGCUUUCUCUUUGCUUAAGAAUCACAUUCUUGUUCCAGUUAAGUGCAUAUUACUUUCUCAUUGAUUCAGUACUUGUUCUACUAGCAAUUCAUCUGUUAAGUGCAUGUCUAGUUGUUUGUGUAUCCUUGAGAAUUCCCGAAGCUAAACUCUAUUUAUGCUUUUCUGUUUGAGGUGUUCGUUGACUAACUUCAACUUGGCAUGAUGAUGUGGGUGGCUGUUGCGGUGGAACGAAGCCCCAUCGAAUGAAGGUUUCCAAGUCUCCCCUUGCUUGGGAGCAGCUUUGCAUCGGGGUAUUGCUUGCUAGGCACAGAGCAUGGUGGCCAUGACGGCGACGGCAAGGCACCCUAGCACCAGCAGCCGAAGAGGCUGGAGCCGGCACUCUAGAUGGAGGACCUUCUCCAUGUCUUCGAUCUCCCCGUCAAGCUCACACGACAUGGUCUCUCGUAUUCAAGAUUAAGUUCCCGAUUUCUAGAGAAGAAAGAACGAGUGCUUCACUAAUGAACGUAGUCUGGAACUUCUCAAAUUAAAGGUAUGGGCGAGCUGAUGUGAAGAGGCGGAGAGGUUGAGUGGCAGGAGUUGCAUGGCUGGACGGCCGGUGUUGACCAUUUACAUUGGCGCUCUCUUGCCGGUGACGACGACCAACGGCGCCACCACACCGUGCGCCCUCCUGCUCAGGUCUUCCCGUCACCUCGAUCGAGAGGGCACCCCUGCCCCGGCCUAGCUGCAGGAAAACACAAGGCUGUCAUUGUUGUUGUAUGAGUUCGUCGACACACUUCUGCCAUUUGGAGCAGCUGGAGGAGUGGAUGGGUCAGAAAGAUAGGUGGGCAAGUUCUCGGAGCAGUACACCCGCUGGUCCAGCAUCACCUUUUCCUGCUCUGCCAUCUCGUUUGUCGUGAAGGUUCUGAAGAAUGGUGAUGAGGUGAAGUUGCACAGGAAUGCUUUGGGUGUCUUGCAAGCUCCUAAUCUAGCUGAGAAUAUUUGUACCUGCCCAGUGGAGUUUCUGCUGGUGCUACCGACAUCAACUACGACCUGCUGCCCAUGCCUUCGUUGACGGGGACGUCUCCUACAGCACCGCGUCCCCAAUCGGCGUGCCACAGAAGAUCUUGCUUUCUAUCUCGGUUUGUACUAUAUCAAGGUUCUUCAGGAGAAGGACCUGGAUGUUCACACUGAGAAGGGCAUACAACAUAACCAGAAGGUCACCUUCCAUGGAGAAGAUGAUGAAGCGCCUGAUACUGUUAACGGAGACAUUGUAUUCGUCAUCCAGUAGAAGGAACUCCUGAAGUUUAAAAGAAAGGGCAAUGGUCUCUUCUAUGAGCACACCUUGUCUCUCACUGAAGCUCUUUGUGUGUUUCAACUUGAGUCAGCUGCUCAUUAAGUUAAACCCUGGUGACCCACAUCUGUGGACGACGGUUGCCGUGCUGACUGGCUUUGUCUUCAAGAAAGUGCCUGUAUGGUGGUGCUCCAAAGGGCCCUCAGCUUAGAGAUCUUCAGCUUGGGGCAGAUAUUGUGAUGAUAUUCUGGAGAUGAUGAAGCUGAACGCAUGCUUGACAUUGGUUUUGAGCCACAAACAUGGAGGAUUGUGGAUGAGAUGCCUCGUUGCAGACAGACUCUGAUGUACACUGCCACUUGGCCAAAAGAGGUUACAAAGAUAUCUGGUGAUUAUUGAGAGAUCCUGUCCAGAUCAAUAUUGGAAGCAUCGAUGAACUUGCUGACAACAAAUCCAUCACAGUUUUAAGGCAAGCACCUGUCCAAGGCAUGGUAUUUAUUUGUUGCCACUGGCUUGUUGAUUUUUGCUGGUUCUGGCCUAUGGAUCCCAGCGUUGUGCCUUCGAAUUCAUGUAAUGCCGCUAUGAAGCAGCUUCAGACAUUAGCUCAGGAGCCUCAUCGAUGCAGAGCAGUGAACAGCUCCCAGUGCUUUUGGUUUAUUCUGUGCCCUUUAUCUACCUGCCAGGUGAACAGACCGCCGCAAGCCCUGGAGCAUGCCUGUACUUUGUCGAGACCUUCCCAUGCUCUCAUACUUCCUUUUCGGUGAACCAUGUACAUGAAGUCGAACAAGGACUACCCUAGGAUUGUCGCCCAGCUUGGCAGCGUGGGUCUCUGAGCUCCUGCUGGUGGUUGCCUGCCCGGGCUGUUGCUACUGGCGUCCACCUGGAGCUGGCCAUGUUCGCUGGCCAACCAUCAACUUAGACUACUUCCGCCUCGGUACCGUGCGAUGGCGGCAAGUUCACUGCGGUGCAACCGUGGCAGCGGUGGCUUCUUCGUCGACAC
Molecule: long non-coding RNA, 2311 nt
Organism: Lolium rigidum
Lineage: Eukaryota; Viridiplantae; Streptophyta; Magnoliopsida; Poales; Poaceae
Exons: 12
Source: RefSeq, a predicted model, not a curated record